AGUUAGCUGACGAGUCCCAAAUAGGACGAAAUGCACAUCCUGGAU
RNAcentral lists this non-coding RNA (45 nucleotides) under Trichobilharzia regenti. Lineage: Eukaryota; Metazoa; Platyhelminthes; Trematoda; Strigeidida; Schistosomatidae. The record is from RNAcentral.